Molecule: unclassified non-coding RNA, 329 nt
Filed under: soil metagenome
Description: partial contains 5.8S ribosomal RNA, internal transcribed spacer 2, and large subunit ribosomal RNA
Rfam family: 5.8S ribosomal RNA (bases 1-120)
Source: RNAcentral
GAUGAAGAACGCAGCGAAAUGCGAUACGUAGUGUGAAUUGCAGAAUUCAGUGAAUCAUCGAAUCUUUGAACGCACAUUGCGCCCCUUGGUAUCCCGAGGGGCAUGCCUGUUCGAGCGUCAUUUCACCACUCAAGCCUGGCUUGGUGUUGGGCGACGUCCCCUUUGGGGACGCGCCUCGAAACGCUCGGCGGCGUGGCACCGGCUUUAAGCGUAGCAGAAUCUUUCGCUUUGGAAGUCGGGGCCCCGUCUGCAGGAAGACCUACUCGCAAGGUUGACCUCGGAUCAGGCAGGGAUAGCCGCUGAACUUAAGCAUAUCAAUAAGCGGAGGA